CCUGGCUCAGAUUGAACGCUGGCGGCAGGCCUAACACGAUGCAAGUCGAACGGUAACAGGAAUCAGCUUGCUGAUUCGCUGACGAGUGGCGGACGGGUGAGUAAUGUCUGGGAAACUGCCUGAUGGAGGGGGAUAACUACUGGAAACGGUAGCUAAUACCGCAUAACGUCGCAAGACCAAAGAGGGGGACCUUCGGGCCUCUUGCCAUCGGAUGUGCCCAGAUGGGAUUAGCUAGUAGGUGGGGUAACGGCUCACCUAGGCGACGAUCCCUAGCUGGUCUGAGAGGAUGACCAGCCACACUGGAACUGAGACACGGUCCAGACUCCUACGGGAGGCAGCAGUGGGGAAUAUUGCACAAUGGGCGCAAGCCUGAUGCAGCCAUGCCGCGUGUAUGAAGAAGGCCUUCGGGUUGUAAAGUACUUUCAGCGGGGAGGAAGGGAGUAAAGUUAAUACCUUUGCUCAUUGACGUUACCCGCAGAAGAAGCACCGGCUAACUCCGUGCCAGCCGCAGC
Molecule: ribosomal RNA, 512 nt
Filed under: uncultured bacterium
Lineage: Bacteria
Description: bacterial SSU rRNA
Rfam family: Bacterial small subunit ribosomal RNA
Source: RNAcentral